AGUGAACGCUGGCGGUAGACCUAACACAUGCAAGUCGAACGGCAGCACAGUGAGAGCUUGCUCUUACGGGUGGCGAGUGGCGGACGGGUGAGGAAUACAUCGGAAUCUACUUUUUCGUGGGGGAUAACGUAGGGAAACUUACGCUAAUACCGCAUACGACCUACGGGUGAAAGCAGGGGAUCUUCGGACCUUGCGCGAUUGAAUGAGCCGAUGUCGGAUUAGCUAGUUGGCGGGGUAAAGGCCCACCAAGGCGACGAUCCGUAGCUGGUCUGAGAGGAUGAUCAGCCACACUGGAACUGAGACACGGUCCAGACUCCUACGGGAGGCAGCAGUGGGGAAUAUUGGACAAUGGGCGCAAGCCUGAUCCAGCCAUACCGCGUGGGUGAAGAAGGCCUUCGGGUUGUAAAGCCCUUUUGUUGGGAAAGAAAAGCAGCAGGUUAAUACCCCGCUGUUCUGACGGUACCCAAAGAAUAAGCACCGGCUAACUUCGUG
Molecule: ribosomal RNA, 492 nt
Filed under: uncultured bacterium
Lineage: Bacteria
Description: partial 16S ribosomal RNA
Rfam family: Bacterial small subunit ribosomal RNA
Source: RNAcentral